GACGAACGCUGGCGGCGUGCUUAACACAUGCAAGUCGAACGAUGAAGCCUAGCUUGCUCGGUACUUUAGUGGCGAACGGGUGAGUAAUACGUGAGUGACCUACCUUUGACUCUGGGAUAAGUCUGGGAAACUGGGUCUAAUACCGGAUACGACCAAUCUCCGCAUGGGGUGUUGGUGGAAAGCGUUAUGGAGUGGUUUUAGAUGGGUUCACGGCCUAUCAGUUUGUUGGUGAGGUAAUGGCUUCCCAUGGCGACGUCGGCUAGCCGGCCUGAUGGGGUGACCGGCCACCAGGGGACGGAGACAGGGCCCAGACGCGUACGGGAGGCAGCAGGGGGGAAUAUGGCACAAUGGGGGCAAGCCUGUGGCGGAGACGCCGGGUGAGGGAUAACGGCCUUCGGGUGGUAAACCUCUGUGAGCAUCGAAGAAGCGAAAGUGACGGUAGGUGCAGAGAAAGCGCCGGCUAACUACGUG
This 471-nucleotide ribosomal RNA is filed under the name uncultured bacterium. RNAcentral's name for it is "partial 16S ribosomal RNA". It matches the Rfam family "Bacterial small subunit ribosomal RNA", at positions 28 to 507 of the family's 1533-position model. The record is from RNAcentral.